GAUGAACGCUGGCGGCGUGCCUAAUACAUGCAAGUCGAGCGAACAGACGAGGAGCUUGCUCCUUUGACGUUAGCGGCGGACGGGUGAGUAACACGUAGGUAACCUACCUAUAAGACUGGGAUAACUUCGGGAAACCGGAGCUAACACCGGAUAAUAUUUCGAACCGCAUGGUUCGUUAGUGAAAGAUGGCUUUGCUAUCACUUAUUGAUGGACCUGCGCCGUAUUAGCUAGUUGGUAAGGUAACGGCUUACCAAGGCAACGAUACGUAGCCGACCUGAGAGGGUGAUCGGCCACACUGGAACUGAGACACGGUCCAGACUCCUACGGGAGGCAGCAGUAGGGAAUCUUCCGCAAUGGGCGAAAGCCUGACGGAGCAACGCCGCGUGAGUGAUGAAGGUCUUCGGAUCGUAAAACUCUGUUAUUAGGGAAGAACAAACGUGUAAGUAACUGUGCACGUCUUGACGGUACCUAAUCAGAAAGCCACGGCUAACUACGUG
RNAcentral lists this ribosomal RNA (497 nucleotides) under uncultured bacterium. RNAcentral describes it as "partial 16S ribosomal RNA". It matches the Rfam family "Bacterial small subunit ribosomal RNA", at positions 28 to 507 of the family's 1533-position model. The record is from RNAcentral.